AGUGAACGCUGGCGGUAGGCCUAACACAUGCAAGUCGAACGGCAGCACAGUAAGAGCUUGCUCUUACGGGUGGCGAGUGGCGGACGGGUGAGGAAUACAUCGGAAUCUACUUUUUCGUGGGGGAUAACGUAGCGAAACUUACGCUAAUAACGCAUACGACCUACGGGUGAAAGCAGGGGAUCUUCGGACCUUGCGCGAUUGAAUGAGCCGAUGUCGGAUUAGCUAGUUGGCGGGGUAAAGGCCCACCAAGGCGACGAUCCGUAGCUGGUCUGAGAGGAUGAUCAGCCACACUGUAACUGAGACACGGUCCAGACUCCUACGGGAGGCAGCAGUGGGGAAUAUUGGACAAUGGGCGCAAGCCUGAUCCAGCCAUACCGCGUGGGUGAAGAAGGCCUUCGGGUUGUAAAGCCCUUUUGUUGGGAAAGAAAAGCAGCAGGUUAAUACCCCGCUGUUCUGACGGUACCCAAAGAAUAAGCACCGGCUAACUUCGUG
This 492-nucleotide ribosomal RNA is filed under the name uncultured bacterium. RNAcentral's name for it is "partial 16S ribosomal RNA". It matches the Rfam family "Bacterial small subunit ribosomal RNA", at positions 29 to 507 of the family's 1533-position model. The record is from RNAcentral.